This 777-nucleotide ribosomal RNA is filed under the name Salmonella enterica. RNAcentral's name for it is "partial 23S ribosomal RNA". It matches the Rfam family "Bacterial large subunit ribosomal RNA", at positions 980 to 1757 of the family's 2925-position model. The record is from RNAcentral. Lineage: Bacteria; Pseudomonadati; Pseudomonadota; Gammaproteobacteria; Enterobacterales; Enterobacteriaceae.
GGAGACACACGGCGGGUGCUAACGUCCGUCGUGAAGAGGGAAACAACCCAGACCGCCAGCUAAGGUCCCAAAGUCAUGGUUAAGUGGGAAACGAUGUGGGAAGGCCCAGACAGCCAGGAUGUUGGCUUAGAAGCAGCCAUCAUUUAAAGAAAGCGUAAUAGCUCACUGGUCGAGUCGGCCUGCGCGGAAGAUGUAACGGGGCUAAACCAUGCACCGAAGCUGCGGCAGCGACACUGUGUGUUGUUGGGUAGGGGAGCGUUCUGUAAGCCUGUGAAGGUGGCCUGUGAGGGUUGCUGGAGGUAUCAGAAGUGCGAAUGCUGACAUAAGUAACGAUAAAGCGGGUGAAAAGCCCGCUCGCCGGAAGACCAAGGGUUCCUGUCCAACGUUAAUCGGGGCAGGGUGAGUCGACCCCUAAGGCGAGGCCGAAAGGCGUAGUCGAUGGGAAACGGGUUAAUAUUCCCGUACUUGGUGUUACUGCGAAGGGGGGACGGAGAAGGCUAUGUUGGCCGGGCGACGGUUGUCCCGGUUUAAGCGUGUAGGUGUGUGUUCCAGGUAAAUCCGGUUCACUUUAACACUGAGGCGUGAUGACGAGGCACUACGGUGCUGAAGCAACAAAUGCCCUGCUUCCAGGAAAAGCCUCUAAGCAUCAGGUAACAUCAAAUCGUACCCCAAACCGACACAGGUGGUCAGGUAGAGAAUACCAAGGCGCUUGAGAGAACUCGGGUGAAGGAACUAGGCAAAAUGGUGCCGUAACUUCGGGAGAAGGCACGCUGACAC